This is an RNA transcript of Dermacentor albipictus, 3291 nucleotides long. It is a transcript of the gene named U11/U12 small nuclear ribonucleoprotein 25 kDa protein-like, with no coding region annotated. The record is from RefSeq and is a predicted model, not a curated record. NCBI's taxonomy places the organism in Eukaryota, Metazoa, Arthropoda, Arachnida, Ixodida, Ixodidae.
GUGAAUGCAAGCAAGGAGUCUUGAAGUACCUGCUGUGCCUUAAAGACAACAACGGCAGUGCGGAGCCCUGCAGACACCUUGCCAAGGAUUACCUGGAGUGUCGAAUGGACAGAAACUUGAUGGCCAAAGAGGAAUGGUCAAAGCUGGGCUUCAAAGAGACGCCAAAAGCUACGUCAAACUAAACCAUGGGUGAUGCAGAGGCAGCAGCGGCAGCUAUCAAGACUGAGGACAGCAGCAUCCCGCUUCCCAGCGAUGAAGAAGCCGAGAAAGUCCUGUCAUUUCAGGAAGCAAUGGCCAUUGCUGACAAAAAGAUCCAUGACCUGAUUAGCAAUGACCCGCUGCUCAACAACCUGCACCCCGAAGUGACCACCGAUGAGCUCAAGUCGUACCUGGCGCUGGAGCACGGCCAGGCCAUGUCCUUGGUGGUGCACAAAGCCGACGGCGACUACUACACUGUCGUUGUUGAGCAAAAGGCCACGGUGCUGGACCUGAAGAAUGCCAUACGGCGACAUGUCACCCUGCGCAUGGCACGUAAGGGAGUGAAGCGCAUCCUAAGCUGGAGGUACGUUUGGAAGACUUACUGGCUGUCCUUCGAUGGCGAGCUCCUAAAGGAGGACAAGGCGCUCCUGCGAGACUUCGGAAUUCGCAACAACUCCCAGCUCUCGUUUGUCAAGAGACUGCGGGAGAAAUAGGCACCGAACGAACUGUAGUCACUUGAAGAAGCGUAACCGCACCCGAGAUGCUUGCCGUGGUUAAGGCGACUUACAAAGACGACGCCCUGUCAAGUGCCCAGGUUUUCCGGUGGUUCAGCAAGUUAAAGAAGGGAUGGGAGACCGUUGAAGGCAUGGAGCGAUCUGGACACCCUAAUGAAUGGUUUAGACGAAAAUGUGGCCAAAGUGGGAAUAUCGCUGAGGACAAAGAAGAGUCACCUAAAGAUAUGACAGAGAAUUCGUGGAAACUUGGUCUCAAACAUUCACCUGCUUGUUCACAAGUAUGUACUCGUAUUUUUGAGCUUGCAGACCACACACAUCUCGCACAUGAAAGGAUGACACUUGGCAAGUACAAAAGUUGGGAAACUAGAUAUUUUAAGUUGAUAUUGUAGUUGGGCUUGAAAUCGUCGUACCAGGCGUCCACAUUAUCGUAAUGUCAUGACACUGAACUAUACAGAAAAACCUUAAUAUGUACCUGCUCAAUAAGUAAUUCCAGUUUAAAUGUAGUAGUCACGACAAAUUGCCUGCCCUGUCUACAUUGAACCUAAUGUAUUGGUUGACCGCUUAAACCGUAGGUGUAUGUCAAAUGGUUAGUGCAUAGUCUUACUUUAUUUUUUGGCACGCAUACAACAAGUGCAGAAUCGGCGAAAUGUCAUGCGCAGAGACCAUAUAUAGUGAAUUGCACGGACCUUUCCCGAACUUCAGUUGCCACAGCUAGUACCGUCAAAACAUGGUAGCCAUGACAUGUUCCCUGCUGCCAUAGCUUCCAGCGCUUCCACAUUGUCGUCACUGAUGACAACAUGGACAAUGACCCUUCCGUAUCCGACACGGCGUGUGUGAAUUGACUGUCGUAAGCAACGUUACUAGAUCCAACUGAGUUUCACAGCUCUGCAUAUUGGCCAGCGCAAGCAUCUAGCCCGCAUGGUGGUUGCAAGAACUGCUGUAGUCAAGUCCGGCUACUGGUUGGUCGGAUUGGCUGCUACUGCAACGGUGCGACUGCUUGUUAUUGCACACUUGUUCACUCGUCCGCAUCAAUUAAUUAUUCCACUGAAAAGCUGUACUGCCUUAAUAACUGUAGUCCACGGUUUUCACUAUGCGUGACAGCUUUGGAAGCCCAGUACGAAUCCUAAUGGUGAUGUGUACGCUUCGAUUUCAGUGGCUAUGCUAUACUGUGACGCUACUCCGACAUCAAUUCUGACUGGAUGUGUCUGCCAGAUAAGGCAGUUAAAUAAUCGUUUGUGUGGGAGGGGGGUAAAAUCAGGAUAGGUAAUGAGGGAAGAAGCAAGAAAAAAAUGCCGGACAGCGUGAAAAAGAUUAAAAUUUAUUGUUUAUCGGGCCAUCUGCAAAUGGAGAGCUCCCUUAAUCUUAUAUAAGCUAUGCAUUUUUUUUUAGAAAGUUAGUCAUAUUGCGUGCUAGCCCACCCCCAAACUUCACCCCCACCUCCAAAUUUCAAGUGGGCUCACCGCCAAAUUUACGUUGCUUCAUGGUCCACCCCCGAAUUUCAAGUUAGCCCACCCCUAAACUUCAAGUUGACCCAUAUCCCAAUUUCAAGUUAGCCCACCUAUAAGCUCUCCCAUGCAUUUUCUACGGAGCCCUAUGUAUCCCUAUGGGUAUUCUCUCUGAUAAAUUUUAUUUUAAAUUGUUCCUUAUUGCAUAUAAAGCUACCAAUUAUCUAUCUACAUUAAUAGUAUAAUGACUAAACGUCUUAAAUUUGCAAAUUCUGCAUUUUUCUGCAGAUACAAGACAUUUCACUUUUAGCAUAAUGGACCUGUGGUACUCGCCAAAAAAUGCUUACACAUUAAAAAUGACACUUAGCUGAUGACUUGUAGCAGCUUUUACAAGCCGCAGCAAAACACGUUGGCAUGUUGCACGCUCGACACAAGCCAGGCUUCACACUUCACAGACCAGCUCGAACUUCAAACGAACGUCUGCACGACGCAACAAAACAACCAUACGGGAUGUAGCCGCAGCGAAAAAGGCGUGUAACCCGAAGCACCGCCAGUAGUGUGACUCGAUCGCAGCGCCGUUAGUUCUCAUGACCACCACGGGGCUCGUGUUUUCAGUGGAGCUGUGAAACUAAGUCAAUUCUAGUAAUGCUGGUCACGAAGGUGUUUGCAGAGAAGUGGGGCCUGAUGGAGGAACUGGCUCGUGGCCUUGCUGAAUAUGAGGAUGCCAUCGUCACUGGAAGGCCGUCACGGUGGCAGGUGAUAAUCGGAGGUUUCUCUGCUGCCUACUUGCAAAGAAUUGUCUGCUUGUGUGUUUGACUGAGAAUUAGGACAUGUUUUUGGUCGGUUAGUCUAUAGCUGCUCAUCUGACAUUGUCCAUUAAUUAGUACAUCGCUUAGUGCGUACCUGAUUCACGGUCCGCGCCAACUGCUUGCUUGUAUUAACAAGAUUUUACUGUAUUUUGUGAUGUUGUGUAGCAAUAAGGCUAUGUAUGGCGACAUUGCUCACAAAAAAAAAAAAAGAGUGCUGUGCUUAUUCCUCCUGACUGUGCUCGCAUGUGGCAGCCGCAGCAGCAUGUCAUGACGUCAUGAUUAUUCCAUUUCUUGGGCACCAAAUUAGAAACUGGUUCAUUAGCA